GAUGAACGCUCGCUGUGUGCCUAAUACACGCAUGUUGAACGGGAUGUAGCAAUACAUUCAGUAGCGAAUGGGUGAGUAACACGUACCUAACCUACCUUUAAGACUGGGAUAACUAUUGGAAACAAUAGCUAAUACCGGAUAUAGUUAUUUAUCGCAUGAUGAGUAAUAGAAAGGAGCUUCACAGCUUCACUUAAAAAUGGGGGUGCGGAACAUUAGUUAGUUGGUAGGGUAAUGGCCUACCAAGACGAUGAUGUUUAGCCGGGCCGAGAGGCUGUACGGCCACACUGGGACUGAGAUACGGCCCAGACUCCUACGGGAGGCAGCAGUAAGGAAUUUUCCACAAUGAGCGAAAGCUUGAUGGAGCGACACAGCGUGCAGGAUGAAGUUCUUCGGAAUGUAAACUGCUGUUAUAAGGGAAGAAAAAAUAGAAUAGGAAAUGAUUUUAUCUUGACGGUACCUUAUUAGAAAGCGACGGCAAACUAUGUGCCAGCAGCUGCGGUAAUACAUAGGUCGCAAGCGUUAUCCGGAAUUAUUGGGCGUAAAGCGUCCGUAGGUUUUUUGCUAAGUCUGGAGUUAAAUGCUGAAGCUCAACUUCAGUCCGCUUUGGAUACUGGCAAAAUAGAAUUAUAAAGAGGUUAGCGGAAUUCCUAGUGAAGCGGUGGAAUGCGUAGAUAUUAGGAAGAACACCAAUAGGCGAAGGCAGCUAACUGGUUAUAUAUUGACACUAAGGGACGAAAGCGUGGGGAGCAAACAGG
This 755-nucleotide ribosomal RNA is filed under the name uncultured Mycoplasma sp. RNAcentral describes it as "bacterial SSU rRNA". It matches the Rfam family "Bacterial small subunit ribosomal RNA", at positions 28 to 776 of the family's 1533-position model. Lineage: Bacteria; Bacillati; Mycoplasmatota; Mollicutes; Mycoplasmatales; Mycoplasmataceae. The record is from RNAcentral.